UGCAAGGGCCACCAAGGCUAAAAUCUGGUCGUGCACCAUCUCGAAGAAGUCCUUUGGCAGGAGCUUCAAAAAGUACACUACCAAGAUGAUGGAAGCCUCCAGAUCAGCUAAGAGGAGGUACAACAAGGCUCAGUCCUCCCUCUACAAUUUUGAGGAGAAAUUGGAUAAUUUGCCGGUGGUGGUGGCAACAGCGGCGGAGGCUGACGAGCUGAGUGAUCUGACAAAGAAAUUCACCAAAACCACCAUUUCUGUUAUCGUUCCACCCGCUGCUUCCGAGAAAACCAUCUCUAAAUUGACAACCAUGGCCUCCGCGAAGGGUUUCACCGACCUACACUUGCACUUUUACCCUAUCGGAUGCUGAGAUCUACCUUGCCUCGGUGUUCUUAAUGUUGGGGAGGAUUCGAUAUGGGAAAGUGGCCAUAUACAAGAGGAGCCUGCUGGAGUAGAUCCCAUUUUUGACAGAGGAG
Molecule: long non-coding RNA, 467 nt
Organism: Prunus mume (Japanese apricot)
Lineage: Eukaryota; Viridiplantae; Streptophyta; Magnoliopsida; Rosales; Rosaceae
Source: RefSeq, a predicted model, not a curated record